UGGGGAAUCUUGCACAAUGGAGGAAACUCUGAUGCAGCUGAUGCCGCGUGAGUGAAGAAGGCCCUUGGGUUGUAAAGCUCUUUCGUCGGGGAAGAAAAUGACUGUACCCGAAUAAGAAGGUCCGGCUAACUUCGUGCCAGCAGCCGCGGUAAUACGAAGGGACCUAGCGUAGUUCGGAAUUACUGGGCUUAAAGAGUUCGUAGGUGGUUGAAAAAGUUAGUGGUGAAAUCCCAGAGCUUAACUCUGGAACUGCCAUUAAAACUUUUCAGCUAGAGUAUGAUAGAGGAAAGCAGAAUUUCUAGUGUAGAGGUGAAAUUCGUAGAUAUUAGAAAGAAUACCAAUUGCGAAGGCAGCUUUCUGGAUCAUUACUGACACUGAGGAACGAAAGCAUGGGUAGCGAAGAGGAUUAGAUACCCUCGUAGUCCAUGCCGUAAACGAUGUGUGUUAGACGUUGGAAAUUUAUUUUUCAGUGUNGNAGGGAAACCGAUAAACACACCGCCUGGGGAGUACG
Molecule: ribosomal RNA, 511 nt
Filed under: uncultured Alphaproteobacteria bacterium
Lineage: Bacteria; Pseudomonadati; Pseudomonadota; Alphaproteobacteria
Description: bacterial SSU rRNA
Rfam family: Bacterial small subunit ribosomal RNA
Source: RNAcentral